GGAGAAGGGCCAUAGCUCAGGGGAAGAACAUUUGCUUGGCAUGCAGAAGGUCCUUGGUUCAAUCCCUGGCACCUCCA
RNAcentral lists this transfer RNA (77 nucleotides) under Sphaerodactylus townsendi. Its description in RNAcentral is "tRNA-Ala". Lineage: Eukaryota; Metazoa; Chordata; Lepidosauria; Squamata; Sphaerodactylidae. The record is from RNAcentral.